UUCAAAUCCAUUGUGGUGGAUUUGAAAGUGAAAAAAAUUGUGUCACUGUCCAAAUGCUUAUGGACCUGACUGUACUACGUGUCUUUGCGUGGUUUACUUAAUUUCUGUAACUACACAACAAACUGGUGAGGAAGAUGGCCGUUCAUCUUCCUCCAGCCUGCCUACAGUGCCCCUGAUAACCUGCAAUCCACUUUAUGACAUGGAUUAAAAUGUUCCAGAAUCACCUGCUUGUGAUUAAUGUGGAGGGAGAUAAGUGGCCUGAUGCCCCUAAGCAUGCUAAUAUGCUCCACUGUCUUGGUUCAGAGACUCCAAGAAUCUUUCACAUGCUAUCUGAUGCAGGUUUGUUGUAUGCACCUGCCCUUGCUGCUUUACAAUCUCACUUUGCACCUAAAUUUAACGUCAAUGCCGAACGGCAUAAGCGUUUGUCAGAGGGAGCAAUGGCCAGAUGAAACUAUUGCACAGUAUUCAAUUCAGUUCAAUUUUAUUUGUGUAGCACUUUUAACAAUGAACAUUGUCACAAAGCAGCUUUACAGAAAUAUAUAAUUUAUGGAUAUAAAUUUUAAAUUUAUAAACUUAUUCCUACUGAUCACUAACCCUUAACCCUAACCCUAGGCAUGUGGCUUCAUUAUGAGAAAUGCUAUCUCUACGACUUCAGUGUGAAAGAGGAUAAAAGGUUUAGGGUAAUAAUAGAUCAUUCAGAUUUGAGAACAUUUAUUACCUACGUGGAAAUAGAAUACAGAAAGAGAAUACAGAUGGCCAGCCAAGUGGAGAAUACUGUGGCUAAAGUUACCAAGUUAAAGAAGUCUGCCGAACUACCAAUAAAGAAAGUGAAUGUGAAAAAGAAAGAGCACACAGAAAAACAUGGGCACUAGCGAGCAAAGAAAGAAACUCAAAGGGUCACGCGGAAGCGCGGUCUAGGUGCAGAUGCUACUGAUGUGAUUCCAAGUCACACUUAGCGCUAAACAUGCAAAAUGUGAAAUGUAAAAAAAAAAAAAAAGCGUUGAAAAAUGGUAAUUUUGUCAUUCUGCUGGAAAACGAGAUGUUAAAGAAAUGAAGAGCUAGAACUCACUUUUCUGUACAUGACCUUUUCUGUAGAAGAUUAAAGAGUUUAUUGUUGUAUGCACAGUAAAGCACAAUGUCUGUACAAUGUCAUUCUUACUCUGCAUUCCUUCUAUUGAUACUGUACAGAUUGUGUUAAUUAUUACAGUUUGGCAUAAAAAACUGUGAUCCUGGCAACCCUGACUAUACAGAAAAAGCUUGAGAUCUUGUCUUAUAGAUGAUUUCUUCUGCAUCAUGAGUGAAUCUCUGUUGUAUUCUGUCCCUCAGUGUUUGUUCAGCCUUCCCCCCAUCAGGUUAUUCCACAGCAGAUGUUGGGUAGGACACUGGGUGAUGCUCCCACUGUGAUUAAUUGCCCGCACUGUCUUCAACAAAUUACCACCAGCGUGUCUUAUAAACCUGGAAAUGCAGCAUGGGCCAUGUGCUGCCUGCUUACACUGUUUGGAAGGAACGAUGCAGCACUCAGAAUACACAAAGCCACAGCCUGGUGCACAUCACACAGCAGUUUAGUGACUCUGGACUUGACUGAGAUUUGACUUGGGCUUUAGGUGACUUGAUUUAAUUAUAAAUGAUGAUCAAUGCUGUGAUUAUUUAAUGAGAAUAAAAUAAAAACACACACAGUUUAUUACCAUCGUUGUAUUUACAUUGAAAAAUGAUUUGUAGCUAAUUUAUUCUAUCCUUGGACUUAAAGCAAGCAAUAACGUCAUUACUGAAAUAGAAAUCUUUCGGAUCAUGAUCUGUAAGAUUAAACUGAUAAAUGUGACGUGCUCAUGCAUUUUGUGUGGAUGCAGACAGUAGAAGCGUUUGAUGUGUUAAUGGGCGUAGAUAAAUGUAAUAAAUAAAUUUAUUCAGUUUUCCUUUGAGAUAAUUAAAGUAACAUGCUGGUAACAGUGGAAACUAACGUCUUAUGAAACGUCUUGAUAAACAAUACAUUUUCCUUUAUUUAA
Pangasianodon hypophthalmus (striped catfish) is the source of this 2003-nucleotide long non-coding RNA. RefSeq lists it as uncharacterized. The record is from RefSeq and is a predicted model, not a curated record. The transcript has 2 exons. Lineage: Eukaryota; Metazoa; Chordata; Actinopteri; Siluriformes; Pangasiidae.